Molecule: ribosomal RNA, 497 nt
Filed under: uncultured bacterium
Lineage: Bacteria
Description: partial 16S ribosomal RNA
Rfam family: Bacterial small subunit ribosomal RNA
Source: RNAcentral
GAUGAACGCUGGCGGCGUGCCUAAUACAUGCAAGUCGAGCGAACAGACGAGGAGCUUGCUCCUCUGACGUUAGCGGCGGACGGGUGAGUAACACGUGGAUAACCUACCUAUAAGACUGGGAUAACUUCGGGAAACCGGAGCUAAUACCGGAUAACAUGUUGAACCGCAUGGUUCAACAGUGAAAGACGGUCUUGCUGUCACUUAUAGAUGGAUCCGCGCCGCAUUAGCUAGUUGGUAAGGUAACGGCUUACCAAGGCAACGAUGCGUAGCCGACCUGAGAGGGUGAUCGGCCACACUGGAACUGAGACACGGUCCAGACUCCGACGGGAGGCAGCAGUAGGGGAUCUGCCGCAAUGGGCGAAAGCCUGACGGAGCAACGCCGCGUGAGUGAAGAAGGUCUUCGGAUCGUAAAACUCUGUUAUUAGGGAAGAACAAAUGUGUAAGUAACUAUGCACGUCUUGACGGUACCUAAUCAGAAAGCCACGGCUAACUACGUG